UACGGAGGAUGCGAGCGUUAUCCGGAUUUAUUGGGUCUAAAGGGUGCGUAGGCGGACUGUCAAGUCAGCGGUAAAAUUGAAAGGCUCAACCUCUUCCCGCCGUUGAAACUGGUGGUCUUGAGUGGAUGAGAAGUACGCGGAAUGCGUGGUGUAGCGGUGAAAUGCAUAGAUAUCACGCAGAACUCCGAUUGCGAAGGCAGCGUACCGGCAUCCAACUGACGCUGAGGCACGAAAGCGUGGGGAUCAAACAGG
This 252-nucleotide ribosomal RNA is filed under the name uncultured bacterium. RNAcentral describes it as "partial 16S ribosomal RNA". It matches the Rfam family "Bacterial small subunit ribosomal RNA", at positions 524 to 776 of the family's 1533-position model. The record is from RNAcentral.